UGAUAACUCGCUGUCGGCGAUACACAGUCGGUGGCCAAGCGAAAGCGAUAAGUUAUCCACCUGGGGAGUACGACCGCAAGGUUGAAACUCAAAGGAAUUGACGGGGGCCCGCACAAGCGGAGGAACAUGUGGUUUAAUUCGAUGAUACGCGAGGAACCUUACCCGGGCUCGAACGGUGCAUGAAUAGAUCAGAGAUGGAUUAGUCCUUCGGGACAUGUAUCGAGGUGCUGCAUGGUUGUCGUCAGCUCGUGCCGUGAGGUGUCGGCUUAAGUGCCAUAACGAGCGCAACCCUUGUCGUUAGUUGCCAUCAGGUAAUGCUGGGAACUCUAGCGAGACUGCCACCGUAAGGUGCGAGGAAGGGGGGGAUGACGUCAAAUCAGCACGGCCCUUACGUCCGGGGCGACACACGUGUUACAAUGGCAGGUACAGAGGGCAGCUACCCAGCGAUGGGGUGCGAAUCUCGAAAGCCUGUCUCAGUUCGGAUCGGAGUCUGCAACUCGACUCCGUGAAGUUGGAUUCGCUAGUAAUCGCGCAUCAGCCAUGGCGCGGUGAAUACGUUCCCGGGCCUUGUACACACCGCCCGUCAAGCCAUGGAAGCUGGGGGUGCCUGAAGUUCGUUACCGCAAGGAGCGACCUAGGGCAAAACUGGUAACUGGGGCUAAGUCGUAACAAGGUAGCCGUACCGGAAGGUGUGGCUGGAUCACCUCCUU
RNAcentral lists this ribosomal RNA (710 nucleotides) under uncultured bacterium. RNAcentral's name for it is "bacterial SSU rRNA". It matches the Rfam family "Bacterial small subunit ribosomal RNA", at positions 810 to 1532 of the family's 1533-position model. The record is from RNAcentral.